UACGUAGGGUGCGAGCGUUAAUCGGAAUUACUGGGCGUAAAGCGUGCGCAGGCGGUUUUGUAAGCCGGAUGUGAAAUCCCCGGGCUUAACCUGGGAAUGGCAUUCGGGACUGCAAGGCUGGAGUGCGGCAGAGGAGACUGGAAUUCCUGGUGUAGCAGUGAAAUGCGUAGAUAUCAGGAGGAACACCGGUGGCGAAGGCGGGUCUCUGGGCAGUAACUGACGCUGAGGAGCGAAAGCGUGGGGAGCGAACAGG
Molecule: ribosomal RNA, 253 nt
Filed under: uncultured bacterium
Lineage: Bacteria
Description: partial 16S ribosomal RNA
Rfam family: Bacterial small subunit ribosomal RNA
Source: RNAcentral